CGGACUCGGGUCACCAUGGCAACGCGGCGGGACCGGAGGCUGCUCGUAGCAGGCGUUCUGGCUGCCGACAUGCUGCCCUCGCCCACAGAGCAGGCCCUGAAUGCCCUGCUGGCUCGCAAGGAGGAGGAGUGGCGAACACUGCAGGCCCAGCACUCCCAGAUGCAGGAGGCAGCCCUGCAGGACGCUCAGCGCCAGCUGGAGGAGGCGCAGGGGAAGCUGCGACGCCUGCGGGAGGACUUUGUCUACAACCUGCAGGUGCUGGAGGAGCGGGACCGGGAGCUGGAGCGCUACGAUGCUGCGUUUGCCCAGGCCCGCGGGCUGGAGGAGGCCAGGCAGGCCGAGGUGAGCGAGCUCAAGAUCGAGGUGGCCAAGCUGAGGCAGGCGCUGGCCGGCGAGGCCCGGCGGGUGGAGGAUCUGCAGCAGCAGUCCCAGCAGAGGCUGCGGGAACACCGCCUGGAGCUGGAGCGGGUCCACAGCGACAGGAACGGCGAGCUGGACCAGCAGCGGGAGCAGUGUGGGAACCUGAAGUGGAGGCUGGAAAGGAGGCUGGAGGAGCUGGGCAGCGAGCUUGCCCUACAGCGGCAGGAGCUGCUCCAGGAGUUUGAAUCUGAAAUGCAAAAGCGGGAGCACGCGUUCCGCCUGCAGGCUGACAGCAUGAGCAAUGUGGUCCUAGCACACGAGCUCAAGAUUAAACUGCUGAACAAAGAGCUCGUGGCCCUGAGAGAGGCCGGGGUGAAGGCUGCGGAGUCCCUGCAGAGCGCCGAGGCGGUGAAUGCGGAGCUGGAGGAUAGGCUGCGGCACAAAGACUGGGAGCUCAGGGACCUGGCUGCCGUGAAGGACGCCCGGAUAAAAGACUUAGAGGGUAAACUUCACUCUGUGCAGCUCACCAGGAAAAAAGAAGAGGAGACGUUUAGGAGGAAGCAUGAGGAGCUGGACCAUCUGGCCAGGGAGAGGGACACGGUGCUGAUGGCAGCGAAGAGCGCCCAUGCGGAGCAGCUGCAGGCGGUAGAGGCCAGGGCCCUGGAGCUGCAGGUGCACUGCGAGAACCUCGAGGUGCAGCUCCGCAAGGCUGAGUGGAGGCAGGCGGACACCACCAAGGAGAAGGACGCCGCCAUUGACAAACUUAGGGAAGAUGCAUCAGCUCUAAAAUCCGGCUGGGAUGCCCAGAUUGCUCAACUUUCCAAGGAGAUGAUCUCCAAAGACCUUCAGGUUCAUUCGCUGCAGGAAGAAGAGGUGAAGCUGAAGGCACAGCUGGCCAGAUGCCAGCAGGACGUUGGAAGGUACAAACAGCAGCUGUCUCUGGCAGUAGAGAGGGAGCAGAGCCUGGAGCGUGACAAGGUGCAGUUGGAGCUGGACUGGCAGCGCCGCUGUGAGGGUGUCGAGCGCGCGCAGUACCAGCGGGCUGAGGACUUGAUUCAGGGCCUAACCAUGGCCAGAGACCAGGUUGCUGCCAAGCUUCAGGAGACAGAGCGGGUGCUAUGUGGCCAGGAGGUGGUGCUGAAGGCUGUGACUCGAGAGAGAGACCAGGCUGUGCAGGCGCUGUGGACACGCGGGCUCCACCCUGAGGAGGAGGCACAGGUGAGGGGCCACCUCCUGCUGAGCCCCCCCACGGCUCUUCCUCCCAAGCCCCUUGGAGACAUCCACUCCCCCAGCCAGAGGGAAAAUAUGCCAAAUAGAGCCAGCACUGGAGGCAGGUCUUUUUAGCCCUAUUUCUUUUAAAAUGACUGUUGGCACAAACAAGGGUGAGGCUGAGCCUCAACCAGUUAACAGGAGUCUACGCUCAAUCUUUGUAUCUUCAGCAUCUGAAAUAUCAAAAACCCCCAAAUUCAGAUAUUGCACCGUGGCAGACAGUAACACAAAGAACCAAGAGGUUAGAGCUUUAUCCCAAAACACACUUCUUCACACGUGGUGAGUAAGCCAUUCAACAUGCGAUGAUGGCCGUUCCUCUCAUAAAGCACAGACUUCCUUACUGCUUUGCACUGGCCAGAGCCUGAUACUGACUAUGGGAUGCCUGCGGGUUGAAUGGUGGCCCCAAAAGACAUGUUCCGGUCUCAGUGCCUCAGGAUGGGACCUUCCUUGGAAAUAGAGUCUCUAUGGAUGGAAUUAGUUAAGAUGACAUCACAUGGGAGCAGGGUGGGCCUAACCCAAUAGGACUGGUGUUCUUAGAAAAGAACACACGUGAAGACAGACACAGGAGGAAGGCCAUGUGAUGACAGAGACAGAGAGCGGAGCCUUGUGUCUGUGGGCCGAGGGGUGCCAAGGACUAGCGCCAGUAAAACCUGAAGCCAGAAGUGGCAGGAUUUGACUCAGAGUUGCAGAGGGGGCAUUUGCUUCCACUGAGGGGGGCCCUUGGCGCAUGCCUAGAGUUUGGCAUUACAGUGAACACAGCCCAUGUCUUGCCUUGCCUCUUGCCUUGUCCCCCGUCCAUCCAGGGCUCCAGAGGGAAGCCCUGUCACCGGGCUGCUAGGAAAUCUGGGCAACCCGCAAGGAGAAGUGCCUUCCAGAGCUGCACCAGCAGAGCUUAGCCCGAGCCUGUCUCAGACAUGACCUUCCUGGUUCAAUGGCCCAUUGUUUCAGUAGUCUGACCUCUGUCCAUUUGUGGAAAGUCACUUACCGGGUCGUCCAGGAUAAUGGAGCCACUGAACUCCUUAGGAUGUUUCCAGGGGUGCUGGCCUCUUCCCACCUGUCCAGCUGCCCACCUGCAGAGGGAGGAUGGAUGUGGCACAAGCUGUGUCUCCAGGCGUCCACCCAGCCCUGCUCGUGCCUGUGUGCGCUCAGCCAGACUGUCGGGAGUGCAGGUGUCUGCGCAGCCCCCAAUCUGGCCACCCUCAGAAACCUCAGGAGCUUCCGAAACACACCCUCUGAGUCCCAGCAGGACCUACUAGGCCCGAUGCCUUAGGCGUUGAGCUCCGAAAGACAAGUCUGUUAACAAGCCCCCAGGGAGAUUGACCGUCAGCCAGUGGUCAGGUUUGGGAACACCGGUGUUCCCAGGAGGAGAGGUGGGGCCAACCCCAGCCUCCAGAGUCACCUGUGGUCCUGGGGGCUCACAGCAGGUGGGUGCCUUCCCUAGGACACAUAGAAAAAACAAAUGCCUCUUUUUUUUUUUUUUUUUUUUUUUAUCUGCAUGGGUGCCUUCCCUAGGACACAU
This is an RNA transcript of Physeter macrocephalus (sperm whale), 3148 nucleotides long. It is a transcript of the gene named coiled-coil domain-containing protein 57, with no coding region annotated. The record is from RefSeq and is a predicted model, not a curated record. NCBI's taxonomy places the organism in Eukaryota, Metazoa, Chordata, Mammalia, Artiodactyla, Physeteridae. The transcript is spliced from 11 exons.